RNAcentral lists this ribosomal RNA (505 nucleotides) under uncultured bacterium. RNAcentral's name for it is "partial 16S ribosomal RNA". It matches the Rfam family "Bacterial small subunit ribosomal RNA", at positions 29 to 523 of the family's 1533-position model. The record is from RNAcentral.
AUUGAACGCUGGCGGCAGGCCUAACACAUGCAAGUCGAACGGUAGCACAGAGAGCUUGCUCUCGGGUGACGAGUGGCGGACGGGUGAGUAAUGUCUGGGAAACUGCCCGAUGGAGGGGGAUAACUACUGGAAACGGUAGCUAAUACCGCAUAACGUCGCAAGACCAAAGUGGGGGACCUUCGGGCCUCACACCAUCGGAUGUGCCCAGAUGGGAGUUAGCUAGUAGGUGGGGUAAGGGCUCACCUAGGCGACGAUCCCUAGCUGGUCUGAGAGGAUGACCCGCCACACUGGAACUGAGACACGGUCCAGACUCCUACGGGAGGCAGCAGUGGGGAAUAUUGCACAAGGGGCGCAAGCCUGAUGCAGCCAUGCCGCGUGUAUGAAGAAGGCCUUCGGGUUGUAAAGUACUUUCAGCGGGGAGGAAGGCGGUGAAGUUAAUAACUUCACCGAUUGACGUUACCCGCAGAAGAAGCACCGGCUAACUCCGUGCCAGCCGCCGCAGUAA